UUCCCUAGUACGGCGAGUGAAGCGGGAAGAGCUCAAAUUUGAAAUCUGGUAGCCUUCGGUUGCCCGAGUUGUAAUCUAGAGAAGUGUUUUCCGCGUUGGCCCAUGUACAAGUCCCUUGGAACAGGGCGUCAUAGAGGGUGAGAAUCCCGUCCUUGACAUGGACCCCCAAUGCUUUGUGAUACACUUUCAACGAGUCGAGUUGUUUGGGAAUGCAGCUCAAAAUGGGUGGUGAAUUCCAUCUAAAGCUAAAUAUUGGCGAGAGACCGAUAGCGAACAAGUACCGUGAGGGAAAGAUGAAAAGCACUUUGGAAAGAGAGUUAAACAGUACGUGAAAUUGUUGAAAGGGAAACGAUUGAAGUCAGUCAUGCUCUUUGGAUUAAGCCGUUCUGCGGUGUAUUUCAUUGAGCGGGGUCAACAUCAGUUUUGAUCGCUGGAAAAGGGCAGGAGGAAGGUAGCACUCUCGGGUGAACUUAUAGCCUCUUGUCGUAUACAGUGAUUGGGACUGAGGAACGCAGCAUGCCUUUUGGCCGGGAUUCGUCCACGUACAUGCUUAGGAUGUUGACAUAAUGGCUUUAAACGACCCGUCUUGAAACACGGACCA
RNAcentral lists this ribosomal RNA (601 nucleotides) under Naganishia friedmannii. RNAcentral's name for it is "eukaryotic LSU rRNA". It matches the Rfam family "Eukaryotic large subunit ribosomal RNA", at positions 76 to 668 of the family's 3401-position model. The record is from RNAcentral. Lineage: Eukaryota; Fungi; Basidiomycota; Tremellomycetes; Filobasidiales; Filobasidiaceae.